AGAUGUUUGGGCAUAUUCUUUUUCAUGAUUGAUUACAACAUCACAGAUUUUAUUUUGAGAUAAAAAGGAUAGGCGUGCAGUACACUUCUCCGGAGCAAAUUUGUUCUUGGUCAUAUUUCAUGACAUUUGAGAUCUUAGUCCUCAAGUGGUUUAAAAAAAUACACAACAAGCAUAAACGAUGAAACAAUUGUCCUCUCCCAAGUGUUCAACGUCAUUCAUAGUCCUGCACAUGUACACAUCAACCCACACACGUGCCACUUCUUUAUUUCAACGAACAAUACACAAAAAGGCCAGAAUGAAAGUCAUGUUAAAGACAGACCUACCACAGUGGAGGGCGAUGUGAUAGUGUACUGGAUUAGUGUGUAGACUGUAAAAUGAUUUGCAAUAUUUGAUAGAUAGGUGAGAGGAUGAGAGGGGAAUAGAAAACAUUGAAACCCCAAGAGCAGCAACUCAUUUUAUUCUUUGGUUCAGUUGUGAGACAAUCAGAAACAUCCAUUGUAUUUUGACAUACUGCAUUUCUUAAUGACAAACAAGUCUGAAAGGCACAAUGACGCCAUAAGUCAAGGAAUAACAACGACAGCAGAAGUUACAGGCCUAUAAAUGAAAUAGAGAAACAAGGAGCCCACCUAGUCUGAGGGUCUUGAUCAGCAGGUUAAAAUAUUAACAGAGUUGAUAUGGUCCUUUUCACAGCAACCAGUAAGUUGCUUAAGUUGGUUUAACGCAGCUCGUUCUAACGCAGCUCCUUACAUUGAUACUGGAGGGUAGGUCUACUUGCUUUGGAGUUAUUCAUUAUUAUGCUACAUGGUCAAUGACUUGGUGCCAGGUUUUUUAGCACUAAGAUGAAUGAUACGAUGUGUAUGUUACAGUAUAUUGCAUAACCUUACAUGUACGUCGAUUUCGUAGUCCUUUUAUGAUGUCACUAUUUAAUUCCCUAAAAGUACAAACUCACAGAGGCAUACCAACACAUUGUCAUAUGGAAAAAAAGACCAUAGACAUAUAAAUGUACCUAUUAUAUCAAUAAUAUCAUUAUAUACUUAAUCCACAGGCGGUCGGUGGCACCUUAAUUGGGAAGGAAUAAAUGGAAUGGUAUCAGACACAUCAAACACGUUUUCCAUGUGUUUGAUACCAUUCCAUUCACUCCAUUCCAGCCAUAUGAGCCGUCCUCCCCUCAGCAGCCUCCUGUGACUUAAUACUAAACAAACCUUUGCCUUUUAUGUAAAUACAUUACUCUGAAAAUUCCCUCUGUAACCACUGGAGGGAGAUAUUCUACUAGUAUAGUCCUGUUACUGCUGCAGUGUCUACUGAGCGCUCAGUACAUCCUGGUCUCCACCUAAGGCUUGCAGGGUUGGGGAGUAACUGAUUACACACAAUCCAAUUACAUUCUUUUUUACUUGUAAUCAGCUACCAGCAAAAAUAUUGUAAUCCGAUUACAGAUACUUUUGAAAAACUAGAUGAUUACUUCUUGGAUUACUUUAAAUUCAGAAAGGAUAUGUAAAUUAUACCUUUCUGUUUUCUCAAUGACAUUCAAUUCAAAAUUGAAACAAGGUGGAAGUUUAAGUUUGUUCCUUAGAGAGUCUGUCUACAAGUCAGAGACCACUAUGAUGACACACCAAAUGCGUUUGAUGGAUCAUUUUUGUCUUCUUCUAAUGCCUUUUAAUGGGACGCAGAUUACGUUACUGAGUUUGGGUAAUCCAAAAGUUACGUUACUGAUUACAAAUUUGGACCAGUAACUAGUAACUGUAACAGAUUACAAUGAGAAAGUAAUUUACCCAACCCUGAAGGCUUGCACUAACUGUACUAAUCCAUAGUCCAUGUAUGAUUGUACAAAGAUUUAUACCCCAAGACAAAAAGUUAAAUAUGACUCAUUCAGUUGGGAAAACGAGUUGCUAGUCUACUUAGGAACCUACGUGCCA
Molecule: long non-coding RNA, 1913 nt
Filed under: Salmo salar (Atlantic salmon)
Lineage: Eukaryota; Metazoa; Chordata; Actinopteri; Salmoniformes; Salmonidae
Description: lncRNA (ENSSSAG00000005362.2)
Source: RNAcentral